UGUUCCAUAGUAUAGUGAUUAGCACGUCUGCUUUACACACAGAGAUCCUGGGUUCGCACCCCAGUGGAGCCA
RNAcentral lists this transfer RNA (72 nucleotides) under Pteropus alecto (black flying fox). It matches the Rfam family "tRNA". From Rfam's summary of the family: Transfer RNA (tRNA) molecules are approximately 80 nucleotides in length. Their secondary structure includes four short double-helical elements and three loops (D, anti-codon, and T loops). Lineage: Eukaryota; Metazoa; Chordata; Mammalia; Chiroptera; Pteropodidae. The record is from Rfam by way of RNAcentral.